Molecule: long non-coding RNA, 2151 nt
Organism: Papilio polytes (common Mormon)
Lineage: Eukaryota; Metazoa; Arthropoda; Insecta; Lepidoptera; Papilionidae
Exons: 3
Source: RefSeq, a predicted model, not a curated record
CUACUACAGUUUCGUCCCCAGAUAAAUAUCUGACUGAAAUUCUUGUUUCAAUUUCAGAGAGCUCAGCGUUCAGAAGAAACUGAACAAACAAAUAAUGGAGAAAAUGCGGUGGCGGAGGCGGAGGCGGAGGAGAGACAGCCGCUGGUGGCGCGCGCGGAGCGACGGCCGCGGGGCUCGCGACGUGCGCGCAGGGCGCAGCGACAGAACGCAUCCAUCAACAGUGACACACGAGGGGAAAUUGGUGUAGCAGCGUUACCGGUAACACCGGCGGACGCGGCGCCGCAGCACAUGAUAUUAUGAGUGUGACCGCACGCGACGUGUAUCCGAACGUGUGACGUCACGCGACGCGACGCCAUCUUGAAACGUCCAAACAGAACCGCGACAUUCGUGGCGGCCAUUGCAAACACUACGAGGAUCGAACUGAGGUAAAAUCAUUUACAAUUGGAUUAAAGUGUUGUGCAAUAUUAACUCUAGAUUUUGUUUUUCAAUCGUGAUAAGGCUCGGUUAAAAUUAUUUGUGUUAGAAAGAUUUUAUUUGAGAAUAUUAUUAAGAUGGUAUAUUAUAAUUUUGUCCAUUCUCAUUUUGCACCCACAAUCAUUGUAAUGUUUAAGGCAUUAGUUUAAUCUGACGUUAAAUAUUGACGCGAAUUUCACUUUGACAAAUAAUUUGUUAAACUCUUAUACAUGAGUAUGCAGCUGAUAAGUAUAGUGAAAUAUAAAUUAGACAAUUUUACAUAACAACGAUUGUUUAUGAAUGAAGUGAAUCAGAAUCAAAACUCGUGAAAAAAUUCUUGAGUAAGGUUUGUUCACUUGUGUGUCGACUUACAAAGCAUUGCAUACUUGUAGUUUUGAAAGAUUUUGUUUUGCUCGAUAAUUGUAAUGUACACGUAAAUAUUUUUGUAUAUAAAAAUUACAAGUGUGAUUUGACAAACUUUAUUAUAUUGAACACACUAGAUACAUUCAAAUUAAAUUGACGAAACCAAUUAUAUUGUAUAACAAAAUCUUAACAGCAUCAUGGUCGGUAAUUCAUGAAAAUGGGUAUUUUUAAAAUACGAACCAAUUAUUGUAACUCGACCACCUAAAAAGAAGGUCACUGUACUUGUAAACUCCAAAAACUACUUUCAAAACUAUUAUUAAUGUUGUCUUUGCAUAAUAUAUUCUGGUCAGCCUAGCCCAAAAUGUAUGCACGACAAUUUUAUAUUUUGGACUUUCUAAUAAAACUCUUUCUUCCAUUUAUUUCCUUAGCUAUGGGAAAAAGUCAAUUGAAUUUUCCAUUAAAAAACAUCACAAAUUAUGUACUCGUACACUUGCUCGUAAGUUUCUAAUUUUUCACCUUGUUUAUUCUUUUUUUAAUCGACUUCAAUAAGGAGGAGGUUCUCAAUUUGUCUAUGUUUUUAUGUACAUAUUUCGUUAAUUGUAUAUUGAAUUUGCUUGUCGUUUUUGUAAAUAUUUUGAAUUACUAACUCAAUGAGAAACAUAAAAAGGACAAGUAACCUAAAUUUCAUAUUAAAAUUCUACAAGAAAUGUCAAUAAGGAUAAAAGAAUCCUCGAAUUAUAAACGGAACAUUGAAUAAAUGUCACUGAACUAUCAUGAAUGCCGCCCGUUUCUAGUUUACCUAGGUAAAACGGAGAGGUAAGAAUUUAUUUCAUAUCUAAUACAAGUUAUUUGUUAUAAUGGUGCUCGAAUCGUAUCGUAAACGAAGAGUUUUUACGAAGUGUCUUCACUUUUUGAAUGAAUUUGUUCUACUAUAAACGUCCAAACCUAGUCAAUUAUAAACGGGCGAUGUACACGAUUUACCAGUGACAUGAUGUAAAAGCCGAGCCGUUUUAGAUGUCAGUAUAUUUUUUUAUAGCUUACUAACACGCUUAAUGAACUUUUAGUAUAGUAUUAGAAGAAAUGUUAUAUUUUUAAUUGUGUUUAAAUCUUCCUUUGCCAUUUUUACAUUUUAUCUUCGUUUUGUAAGUUAAGAUAUGUAUAUUUAAAAUUGUCUGUACCUUAUGUGAUAUAAAUAUAGUUUUCUUCUCGACUGGUGACAGAAGGGACUAAUAUAUGUAAAGAUAAAUUUAAGUUAUUACACUAGGAGCGACGGAGCUUCUCAUCGUUACAACUUCUUAGGAUAUAACCAAAGAAAUAAAAUCGUUUGGACACAAA